Molecule: transfer RNA, 76 nt
Filed under: Borrelia crocidurae str. Achema
Lineage: Bacteria; Pseudomonadati; Spirochaetota; Spirochaetia; Spirochaetales; Borreliaceae
Description: tRNA-Arg
Rfam family: tRNA
About the family: Transfer RNA (tRNA) molecules are approximately 80 nucleotides in length.
Source: RNAcentral
UGUGCCCAUAGCUCAGCUGGAUAGAGCAUCAGAUUGCGGUUCUGAGGGUCAGAGGUUCAAGUCCCCUUGGGCACGA